AAUCCCAUAAACCGUGGCUCAGUUCAGAUCGUAGGCUGCAACUCGCCUACGUGAAGUAGGAAUCGCUAGUAAUCGCAGGUCAGCAUACUGCGGUGAAUACGUUCCCGGGCCUUGUACACACCGCCCGUCACACCAUGGAAGUUGGCCAUGCCCGAAGUCGUUACUCCAACCCUUGUGGAGGAGGACGCCGAAGGUGGGGCUAAUGACUGGGGUGAAGUCGUAACAAGGUAGCCGUACCGGAAGGUGCGGCUGGAUCACCUCCUAACAGGGAGACAACAAAAUAUUUAAUAUUAUUAUUUUGUCACCUUAGGUCGAUCGGUAUCUCACGUUUUUAAUUUAUUAAGAAUUUCAUUUCCUAAGUUUUUCUAGGUCACACCCAUUAUUUUUCCUGGGCCAUUAGCUCAGGUGGUUAGAGCGCACCCCUGAUAAGGGUGAGGUCCCUGGUUCAAGUCCAGGAUGGCCCAUAUCUCUAUGUUGGGGGUAUAGCUCAGUUGGUAGAGCGCCUGCUUUGCAAGCAGGAUGUCAGCGGUUCGAGUCCGCUUACCUCCACUGAUUACCACCUCUUCCAUAACCGGUAGAAAGGAAAUGUUUUGAGUCGUGAUCAAAUUCUGAAAGAAUCUAGCUUCCUAAUGAAAUCAUUAAGAUGCUGGACUCAUUGAAUUAAUUUCAUUGUUUUCAGAGAACCUUGACAACUGCAUAGAUUAUUUUUUAAAGACAAUAAGCAUCUUUAAUGAUGCAGAUUUAUUAUUU
This 750-nucleotide unclassified non-coding RNA is filed under the name uncultured Prochlorococcus sp. RNAcentral describes it as "partial contains 16S ribosomal RNA and 16S-23S ribosomal RNA intergenic spacer". The stretch from base 1 to 265 matches the Rfam family "Bacterial small subunit ribosomal RNA", at positions 1270 to 1533 of the family's 1533-position model. Lineage: Bacteria; Bacillati; Cyanobacteriota; Cyanophyceae; Synechococcales; Prochlorococcaceae. The record is from RNAcentral.